Alosa alosa (allis shad) is the source of this 446-nucleotide long non-coding RNA. RefSeq lists it as uncharacterized. The transcript is spliced from 5 exons. Lineage: Eukaryota; Metazoa; Chordata; Actinopteri; Clupeiformes; Clupeidae. The record is from RefSeq and is a predicted model, not a curated record.
AUCAUCACACUUAGGAGGAACCUACACGGAAUAUCAAUAUUUUCUAUUUGUAUCAAGGACUUCAUCUUGAAAGCUUCCAGUGGGAUAUCAAUGUGUGGGGCUCUCCAGAGCACAGUAAAAAAAUGGAACCUUUACGUCUCUUCUGGUUGUGGAUUGUUGUCGGAAUGGUCUUGUCCUCUCUGGUCAUAGUACUUGUAUUCAUCAUUAUUAACAAGUGUAUAAGCUGGAAAGCUGGAAAUUAUCAACCAAGCUCAACCCCUCAAACAGACUUCUAUGCAGAUAGUCGACCAUACCACACCAGAGAUAUUGAGAGUGACGUUCCUCCUUUACCACCCAGAGACAUGUUUGAGUCCUCAGAUUCUGUGAAUCAGUACGAGCCGGUCGACCUCCCAGAGUAUCUGAAAGUGGUUGAAGAUGAGAGACCACAGACGAUGUAUGACCAACCA